RNAcentral lists this ribosomal RNA (622 nucleotides) under uncultured Bacteroidota bacterium. RNAcentral describes it as "bacterial SSU rRNA". It matches the Rfam family "Bacterial small subunit ribosomal RNA", at positions 772 to 1397 of the family's 1533-position model. The record is from RNAcentral. Lineage: Bacteria; Pseudomonadati; Bacteroidota.
ACAGGAUUAGAUACCCUGGUAGUCCACGCCGUAAACUAUGAUCACUCGCUGUUGGCGAUACACUGUCAGCGGCUGAGCAAAAGCAUUAAGUGAUCCACCUGGGGAGUACGACCGCAAGGUUGAAACUCAAAGGAAUUGACGGGGGCCCGCACAAGCGGUGGAACAUGUGGUUCAAUUCGAUGAUACGCGAGGAACCUUACCUGGGCUUAAAUGUAGAGCGACAUUCACUGAAAAGUGAAUUUCCUUCGGGACGAUCUGCAAGGUGCUGCAUGGUUGUCGUCAGCUCGUGCCGUGAGGUGUCGGGUUAAGUCCCAUAACGAGCGCAACCCUCAUCGUUAGUUGCCAUCGGAUAUUGCCGGGGACUCUAACGAAACUGCCGGUGUAAACCGUGAGGAAGGUGGGGAUGACGUCAAAUCAGCACGGCCCUUAUGUCCAGGGCUACACACGUGUUACAAUGGCCAGUACAAAGGGCAGCUACCUGGUGACAGGAUGCAAAUCUCUAAAACUGGUCACAGUUCGGAUUGAAGUCUGCAACUCGACUUCAUGAAGCUGGAAUCGCUAGUAAUCGCGCAUCAGCCACGGCGCGGUGAAUACGUUCCCGGGCCUUGUACACACCGCCCGU